AGCGACUGAUCUAGGCAGGGGCAGCCAGCCGCGGAGCACCAGCAUACCGCAAUCCUCUCUUGCGCAGGCAUGCAGUGGACCUGUCCCCUCUUCUACCUCACCAUUUUCUGUGCAGGGGUCUCGUUGGAUAUAAUUUUGGAACCAGUCGCCAAAACUCUGACUGUUCUAGCUGGAAACACUGCCACUAUCUAUUGUAGCAUAACAGGAGCAGACUUGAAGAACUAUCAAAUGAGCUGGUAUAAGAAGAAUGAAGAUAACUCCCUGACUUUAGUAUACAGACAAAGCAACAGUUCUAGUGACAAUUUAAGGAGUAAUUUCAAAGGGAAAAUCGAUGCUUUAAAAAGUCAAUAUAUACUUGACAUUCCAAAAGCAACAAUAAAAGAUGCUGGGACUUACUACUGCGGGUCUGAUAUCCACAGUGCUGCCGCCCUGCUUCUGACCGCCUCAGAACCCCAAGGUGGCAGAUUGAAUUAGAGACCCUCUUUGGCUAAAAUGUGCACCAUGCCUGAGAUGAGGCCAUCUGAUAACCUCAACACUAAC
Molecule: non-coding RNA, 540 nt
Organism: Rhinolophus ferrumequinum (greater horseshoe bat)
Lineage: Eukaryota; Metazoa; Chordata; Mammalia; Chiroptera; Rhinolophidae
Source: the annotation of a RefSeq genome assembly